RNAcentral lists this ribosomal RNA (253 nucleotides) under uncultured bacterium. Its description in RNAcentral is "partial 16S ribosomal RNA". It matches the Rfam family "Bacterial small subunit ribosomal RNA", at positions 524 to 776 of the family's 1533-position model. The record is from RNAcentral.
UACGUAGGGGGCAAGCGUUGUCCGGAAUUAUUGGGCGUAAAGAGCGUGUAGGCGGUCCGGUAAGUCAGCUGUGAAAGUCAAGGGCUCAACCCUUGAAUGCCGGUUGAUACUGUCGGGCUAGAGUCCGGAAGAGGCGAGUGGAAUUCCCGGUGUAGCGGUGAAAUGCGCGGAUAUCGGGAGGAACACCAAUGGCGAAGGCAGCUCGCUGAGACGGUACUGACGCUGAGACGCGAAAGCGUGGGGAGCAAACAGG